Molecule: transfer-messenger RNA, 367 nt
Filed under: Mycobacterium tuberculosis
Lineage: Bacteria; Bacillati; Actinomycetota; Actinomycetes; Mycobacteriales; Mycobacteriaceae
Description: transfer-messenger RNA%2C SsrA
Rfam family: transfer-messenger RNA
About the family: Bacterial tmRNA, also known as 10Sa RNA or SsrA, is named for its dual tRNA and mRNA-like properties. Its role is to liberate the mRNA from a stalled ribosome.
Source: RNAcentral
GGGGCUGAACGGUUUCGACUUCGCGCAUCGAAUCAAGGGAAGCGUGCCGGUGCAGGCAAGAGACCACCGUAAGCGUCGUUGCGACCAAAUAAGCGCCGAUUCACAUCAGCGCGACUACGCUCUCGCUGCCUAAGCGACGGCUAGUCUGUCAGACCGGGAACGCCCUCGGCCCGGACCCUGGCAUCAGCUAGAGGGAUUCACCGAUGAGUCCGGUCGCGGGACUCCUCGGGACAACCACAGCGACUGGGAUCGUCAUCUCGGCUAGUUCGCGUGACCGGGAGAUCCGAGCAGAGGCAUAGCGAACUGCGCACGGAGAAGCCUUGAGGGAAUGCCGUAGGACCCGGGUUCGAUUCCCGGCAGCUCCACC